Molecule: transfer RNA, 72 nt
Filed under: Gyrinophilus palleucus (Tennessee cave salamander)
Lineage: Eukaryota; Metazoa; Chordata; Amphibia; Caudata; Plethodontidae
Description: tRNA-Lys
Source: RNAcentral
CAUUAAGAAGCUAUCACGGAUAGCAACAGCCUUUUAAGCUGGAGCCCGGUGACUCCCAACCACCCUUAAUGA